GUCUAUGGCCAUACCACCCUGAACACACUUGAUCUCGUCUGAUCUCGGAAGCUAAGCAGGGUCGGGCCUGGUUAGUACUUGGCUGGGAGACCUCCUGGGAAUACUGGGGGCACUACAGCCU
Molecule: ribosomal RNA, 121 nt
Organism: Pelodiscus sinensis (Chinese soft-shelled turtle)
Lineage: Eukaryota; Metazoa; Chordata; Testudines; Trionychidae
Source: Ensembl